GAGGUAGCUCCUCGCUGGAGUCGCGGUGUAGGCGGGCACUCCCCCAGUGAGGGGGCAGAGCGGGGUUCGAUUCCCCGCCGACUCG
This 85-nucleotide transfer RNA is filed under the name Streptomyces noursei. RNAcentral describes it as "tRNA-Thr". The record is from RNAcentral. Lineage: Bacteria; Bacillati; Actinomycetota; Actinomycetes; Kitasatosporales; Streptomycetaceae.